RNAcentral lists this transfer RNA (73 nucleotides) under Ornithorhynchus anatinus (platypus). It matches the Rfam family "tRNA". From Rfam's summary of the family: Transfer RNA (tRNA) molecules are approximately 80 nucleotides in length. Their secondary structure includes four short double-helical elements and three loops (D, anti-codon, and T loops). Lineage: Eukaryota; Metazoa; Chordata; Mammalia; Monotremata; Ornithorhynchidae. The record is from Rfam by way of RNAcentral.
AGCAGUGUGGUCUGGUGGAUAGGGCAUUGGUCUGGGAGCCAGAAAGACCUGGGUUCUAAUCCCGGCUCUGCCA